Long non-coding RNA from Nannospalax galili (Upper Galilee mountains blind mole rat), 560 nucleotides. RefSeq lists it as uncharacterized. Lineage: Eukaryota; Metazoa; Chordata; Mammalia; Rodentia; Spalacidae. The record is from RefSeq and is a predicted model, not a curated record. The transcript is spliced from 3 exons.
CCUCCUCUUCCUCUUCUUCCUCCUCUGUGAUCUUGAUGGCGGAUUCGCGCUGGGAAGGGAUCACUCACGGUGAAGAUGACCCUGGUUGCAGCUGACUCUCUUGGCAAAUAGACACUUGAAUGUUUGACUCAGGUGAUCUGUGACCCAAAGUACAGCCAGAAGAAACAGGGUGACUCCAGCUUUAAAUGUGAAGAACGGGAAUCCAAAUACUCACGCAGUAUGUGUUCAAGAAUUAUAACCAUGGAAAGAUUUGAAGAAAACAGUGUAACCGAGAAAAUCAAGUGGGCUGUGGUCAGAGGCCCAGGUUGACUGGCAGGAGACUACGAGUCCCGGUGGAAUACGAUGAUGCCAGAUGGCAGGAUAGAGCCCAUGUUGGAUUUCCCCCAGAGUCCAUCACUACCUCUGGAGAAGAGACCAGCUCACCUCCGAGGGCCGUUCUGCCUCUACAUGGACAUGGACGUAUUUAUUUGUGUAUCCACCUACUUUCUCAUUCAUUCAAAACUCUUUGUUUUACUGAGCAUGUAUUAUGGUCAGGUCCUGGGAGUAAAAGCAAGACUCCA